Molecule: ribosomal RNA, 642 nt
Filed under: Mycolicibacterium septicum
Lineage: Bacteria; Bacillati; Actinomycetota; Actinomycetes; Mycobacteriales; Mycobacteriaceae
Description: bacterial SSU rRNA
Rfam family: Bacterial small subunit ribosomal RNA
Source: RNAcentral
CGCGGCCUAUCAGCUUGUUGGUGGGGUGAUGGCCUACCAAGGCGACGACGGGUAGCCGGCCUGAGAGGGUGACCGGCCACGCUGGGACUGAGAUACGGCCCAGACCCCUACGGGAGGCAGCAGUGGGGAAUAUUGCACAAUGGGCGCAAGCCUGAUGCAGCGACGCCGCGUGAGGGAUGACGGCCUUCGGUUGUAAACCUCUUUCAAUAGGGACGAAGCGCAAGUGACGGUACCUAUAGAAGAAGGACCGGCCAACUACGUGCCAGCAGCCGCGGUAAUACGUAGGGUCCGAGCGUUGUCCGGAAUUACUGGGCGUAAAGAGCUCGUAGGCGGUUUGUCGCGUUGUCCGUGAAAACUCACAGCUUAACUGUGGGCGUGCGGGCGAUACGGGCAGACUGGAGUACUGCAGGGGAGACUGGAAUUCCUGGUGUAGCGGUGGAAUGCGCGGAUAUCAGGAGGAACACCGGUGGCGAAGGCGGGUCUCUGGGCAGUAACUGACGCUGAGGAGCGAAAGCGUGGGGAGCGAACAGGAUUAGAUACCCUGGUAGUCCACGCCGUAAACGGUGGGUACUAGGUGUGGGUUUCCUUCCUUGGGAUCCGUGCCGUAGCUAACGCAUUAAGUACCCCGCCUGGGGAGUACGG